GAUGAACGCUGGCGGCGUGCCUAAUACAUGCGAGUCGAGCGAACGGACGAGAAGCUUGCUUCUCUGAUGUUAGCGGCGGACGGGUGAGUAACACGUGGAUAACCUACCUAUAAGACUGGGAUAACUUCGGGAAACCGGAGCUAAUACCGGAUAAUAUUUUGAACCGCAUGGUUCAAAAGUGAAAGACGGUCUUGCUGUCACUUAUAGAUGGAUCCGCGCUGCAUUAGCUAGUUGGUAAGGUAACGGCUUACCAAGGCAACGAUGCAUAGCCGACCUGAGAGGGUGAUCGGCCACACUGGAACUGAGACACGGUCCAGACUCCUACGGGAGGCAGCAGUAGGGAAUCUUCCGCAAUGGGCGAAAGCCUGACGGAGCAACGCCGCGUGAGUGAUGAAGGUCUUCGGAUCGUAAAACUCUGUUAUCAGGGAAGAACAUAUGUGUAAGUAACUGUGCACAUCUUGACGGUACCUAAUCAGAAAGCCACGGCUAACUACGUGCCAGCAGCCGCGGUAAUACGUAGGUGGCAAGCGUUAUCCGGAAUUAUUGGGCGUAAAGCGCGCGUAGGCGGUUUUUUAAGUCUGAUGUGAAAGCCCACGGCUCAACCGUGGAGGGUCAUUGGAAACUGGAAAACUUGAGUGCAGAAGAGGAAAGUGGAAUUCCAUGUGUAGCGGUGAAAUGCGCAGAGAUAUGGAGGAACACCAGUGGCGAAGGCGACUUUCUGGUCUGUAACUGACGCUGAUGUGCGAAAGCGUGGGGAUCAAACAGGAUUAGAUACCCUGGUAGUCCACGCCGUAAACGAUGAGUGCUAAGUGUUAGGGGGUUUCCGCCCCUUAGUGCUGCAGCUAACGCAUUAAGCACUCCGCCUGGGGAGUACGACCGCAAGGUUGAAACUCAAAGGAAUUGACGGGGACCCGCACAAGCGGUGGAGCAUGUGGUUUAAUUCGAAGCAACGCGAAGAACCUUACCAAAUCUUGACAUCCUUUGACAACUCUAGAGAUAGAGCUUUCCCCUUCGGGGGACAAAGUGACAGGUGGUGCAUGGUUGUCGUCAGCUCGUGUCGUGAGAUGUUGGGUUAAGUCCCGCAACGAGCGCAACCCUUAAGCUUAGUUGCCAUCAUUAAGUUGGGCACUCUAAGUUGACUGCCGGUGACAAACCGGAGGAAGGUGGGGAUGACGUCAAAUCAUCAUGCCCCUUAUGAUUUGGGCUACACACGUGCUACAAUGGACAAUACAAAGGGCAGCGAAACCGCGAGGUCAAGCAAAUCCCAUAAAGUUGUUCUCAGUUCGGAUUGUAGUCUGCAACUCGACUACAUGAAGCUGGAAUCGCUAGUAAUCGUAGAUCAGCAUGCUACGGUGAAUACGUUCCCGGGUCU
Molecule: ribosomal RNA, 1372 nt
Filed under: uncultured bacterium
Lineage: Bacteria
Description: bacterial SSU rRNA
Rfam family: Bacterial small subunit ribosomal RNA
Source: RNAcentral